GAUGAAGAACGCAGCGAAAUGCGAUAAGUAAUGUGAAUUGCAGAAUUCAGUGAAUCAUCGAAUCUUUGAACGCACAUUGCGCCCCUUGGUAUUCCGAGGGGCAUGCCUGUUCGAGCGUCAUUAUAACCCCUCAAGCUCAGCUUGGUGUUGGGGCCUGCUGCACUGGCAGCCCUUAAAAUCAGUGGCGGCGCCAUCUGGCUCUAAGCGUAGUAAUUCUUCUCGCUAUGGAGUCCUGGUGGAUGCUUGCCAUCAACCCCCAAUUUUUCUAUGGUUGACCUCGGAUCAGGUAGGGAUACCCGCCGAACUUAAGCAUAUCAAUAAGCGGAGGA
RNAcentral lists this unclassified non-coding RNA (329 nucleotides) under soil metagenome. Its description in RNAcentral is "partial contains 5.8S ribosomal RNA, internal transcribed spacer 2, and large subunit ribosomal RNA". The stretch from base 1 to 120 matches the Rfam family "5.8S ribosomal RNA", at positions 35 to 154 of the family's 154-position model. The record is from RNAcentral.